This 3025-nucleotide long non-coding RNA is filed under the name Homo sapiens (human). Its description in RNAcentral is "HSALNT0029549". Lineage: Eukaryota; Metazoa; Chordata; Mammalia; Primates; Hominidae. The record is from RNAcentral.
UUUCUCAAAGAGCUUAUGUGAGAUGGUGUAAGUGUGAGAAUGAGCUUAAACAUCGGGUUUGAAGAUGGAACUUAACCGCCAGACCAGUGCUGUCCCUGAGCCACUCUGCACUUCAGAAUCAUCUCAGUAAGUCUCCAUGCAUGUGUGGCCUGAAUACCAUGGUGGGAUUAGUGGCCCCCAGAAAGGCAGACCUCAGAGGAAGACUAUGCAGGGCUCACUUUGCAGAAGGGGAAAGUGGGGCUCAAGGUGAAACAGAAGAAGUUUAGGCAGCGCUUGGGCUUGACUCCUGUCCUGCCCCCAGCUUCAAAGCUGGGGUGAUCUGGCCUGUGAGCAAAGCAUGCCUCCGUCCCUGCCGAGGGCAUCCUACUUUGUGUCUAAUCAGGGCUGAGAGGGGCAGAGGUAAGCUAGUGUUUCUCAUCCUCUGAGAUAACCUCUGAUCCACCGAGGGCCAGGGAAGAGGCCAUGAAAUGAAAUGAAGGAAACCUCUCUCGUGUCUUCAGAUGUAGAAAGCUACACAGGGCCAGGCGCAGUGGUUCACUCCUGUAAUCCCAGCACUUUGGGAGGCCAAGGUGGGCGGAUCACGAGGUCAGGAGAUCGAGACCAUCCUAGCUAACACGGUGAAACCCCGUCUCUACUAAAAAUACAAAAAAAUUAGCCAGGUGUGGUGGCAGACGCCUGCAGUCCCAGCUACUCGGGAGACUGAGGCAGGAGAAUGGCAUGAACCCGGGAGGCAGAGCUUGCAGUGAGCCGAGAUUGCGCCAUUGCACUCCAGCCUGGGCUACAGAGUGAGACUCCAUCUCAAAAAAAGAAAGAAAGAAAGAAAAGAAAGAAAGAAAAGAAAGAAAAGAAAGAAAGAAAGAAAGAAAGAAAGAAAGAAAGAAAGAAAGAAAGAAAGAAAGAAAGAAAGAAAGAAAGAAAACUACGUAGACCUGGAACAGGUACCAGAGAAGUAAGUGCUCAGAAUAGACCUCUCUAUUGCCUGCCAGUGACUCUGGGUUCAGCACUGGAGCUGACUGCCAAAGAGAUCAACAGCUUGGCGCAAGAGAGGCAGAAAGCAGAAGCGACUUACUGAGGUUCCACAGGCAGGGCAACCCCAGCCUCUUCUCUCCUUACUGCCCUUGCUGUGUGGACCCAGCCUCUUCCUGAAUCAUAGCUCAGAGAGCUCUGCUGAUGGGUUCUUCUCAGGAGACCCUGGGGGUAACCAAGAGAAGGUUUGCCUGACAGAAAGAAUCUGUGAAGCUCCACUAAACUCUAUGGGCCUUGGGCACGUCGCUCCCUCCCCUAGCCUCGGUCUCCCCACUUGGAACACUAAGGAGGUUGGUCUCGCACUUCUAAGUGCUUUUCUACUGUAAGAUUCUGUAUUUCUGGAACUGAGACAACAGGUUCUUAUGUAGCCUCAAUGAUACUGUUAGACAAUAAAAUAGGAACCCACAGAAUGUAUUAUUUCUUUCAAUUAAGUUUAGGUUUGUGCCAAUACACACAAAAAAGAAACUUGUCUUUGCAUGGAAAUCUCCUUUCCCCUCCCUAGAGCAUUUGAUAGGUGUCAUUCAAUUAUGAUAGGGUUGAGUAGACUCAACUAUAUUCUAAGGAUGAGGUAGAGCAUUCUUUUUUCUGGGAACUAAAACUACAUGAGUCUCAGAAACACUGUGUAAUAUUUAAUCUGUGCUCAGAUUUCCCAGCAUGGUUUUUUUCUUUUUUCAUCCUUGAAGGAGAGAUGCACUUCUCAUUUAGCUAAUUCAAAUUUUUUCUGAAACAAAUACAAAUUUAGUAGACUUAGGAAGUUGGGGCCUGCCAUGUACCAAGUUAAAAUGCAGGGUCUUGAGAGCCGCUGUUUCAGACGAGUACUCCCCAGGCAGACCCUCGGCUCCGGGCCUGCUCACUUCCCAAAGGCUUGAACCGCAGAAGGCUAGGUUUGGGGUCUUUUUCCUUUCUUAUUUUUAAGGCUCUUUGGAAGUUGAGGCCACAUUUAUAUAAUCCGUUUAUUCUUAAAGGAUUUCCCUGGGCCUAUCUUCUUAGGCUUUUUCAUUUAAAUGGACAAAGACAAACAGAAAAUGGAUGAGUACUGGGCACGGUGGCUCAUGAUUGUAAUCCCAGCACUUUGGGAGGGUGAGGCGGGUGGAUCACGAGGUCAGGAGUUUGAGACCAGCCUGCCCAACAUGGUGAAACCCUAACAAUACAAAAACUAGCUGGGCGUGGUGGUGUGCACCUGUAAUCCCAGCUACUCAGGAGGCUGAGGCUGGAGAAUCGCUUGAACCCGGGAGGCGGAGGUUGCAGUGAGCCAAGAUCAUGCCAUUGCACUCCAGCCUGGGUGAUAGAGGGAGACUCAGUCUUAAAAAAAAAAAAAAAAAAAAAAAGAAGAAGAAGAAGAAAAAGAAAAUGGAAAAAUGGAUGAGGCAGAGGCCAAGACAGAGCAACCACACAAAGAGAAAGUCAAAGACUGGCUGGGCGACAGAAAGGGAGCCAGGGACAGCCAGUCAGCAGGGAUGGAGACUGAGGAAGAGAGUGGGAGGAAUGAGAUGGCCCAGACGCAGGGAGGACAAAGUCCACCAGGGGAAGGGAUUCUCACGCCAGCCCAGCAUUGACGGUGCCAGAAUUGUGUCCAAAUAUUACCCUGUUUUCUUAUCCCUCAAGAUGUGAAUUCUCAAGGCAUGGCUGGAAAACAAGGAAUGCAGAUGAUGUGACUCUCAGAUGGAGCUUUUUAAAGACCACCGCCCCCUGCGCUGCGUCUAGCCACAACACAGCGGAGAAAGGACAGUAGAGCCGGCUGAUGGACCCCUGGCCCGGUUACCUGGGCAUCCCAGUCUGUGCCUGGCCAUUCUGGGUCUCUCAGGCCUGACCUGUGGAGGCUGCAGAGGUGCUCGGAGACACACGAUGAAGGUCCCCAGGAAGGCCCAGGUCAACCUUCUUGUUCUGGAGCAAGCUUCCAUCCAAGCAGAUGGGGUCCCAUCUCUGGGGUCAGGAUAUGGACCAGUGGGAGGAGAAAUGUUUUUCAAAAACAAGAGCUUUCUAUAUUAAAUAUGUCAAA